UGAUCCUGCCAGUAGUCAUAUGCUUGUCUCAAAGAUUAAGCCAUGCAUGUCUCAGUACAAGCCAUAUUAAGGUGAAACCGCGAAAGGCUCAUUAAAUCAGUUAUGGUUCCUUAGAUCGUACCCACAUUUACUUGGAUAACUGUGGUAAUUCUAGAGCUAAUACAUGCAAACAGAGCUCCGACCGGAGACGGAAGGAGUGCUUUUAUUAGAUCAAAACCAAUCGGCGGCAAUUGGGUUUACUUAAUUGUUCGUCGCACUAUUUGGUGACUCUGAAUAACUUUUGGCUGAUCGCACGGUCUCGCACCGGCGACGCAUCUUUCAAAUGUCUGCCUUAUCAACUGUCGAUGGUAGGUUCUGCGCCUACCAUGGUUGUAACGGGUAACGGGGAAUUAGGGUUCGAUUCCGGAGAGGGAGCCUGAGAAACGGCUACCACAUCCAAGGAAGGCAGCAGGCGCGCAAAUUACCCACUCCCGGCACGGGGAGGUAGUGACGAAAAAUAACGAUACGGGACUCAUCCGAGGCCCCGUAAUCGGAAUGAGUACACUUUAAAUC
This 552-nucleotide ribosomal RNA is filed under the name Trechus ceballosi. RNAcentral's name for it is "SSU rRNA". It matches the Rfam family "Eukaryotic small subunit ribosomal RNA", at positions 9 to 531 of the family's 1831-position model. RNAcentral also lists the same sequence under 1 other name. Lineage: Eukaryota; Metazoa; Arthropoda; Insecta; Coleoptera; Carabidae. The record is from RNAcentral.